Molecule: long non-coding RNA, 657 nt
Filed under: Ananas comosus (pineapple)
Lineage: Eukaryota; Viridiplantae; Streptophyta; Magnoliopsida; Poales; Bromeliaceae
Description: long non-coding RNA (ACOM_LNC039735)
Source: RNAcentral
AUACUUUAAUAAGUAACUAAAAUAGAGUACAAAAGAUGCACCUUUCACAAAAUCUUAGUAGUGAAAAUAUACCUCAUAAUUUCUCUUAUUCUUCCACUACAACAAAAACGGUCUAUAGCGACACUUUUAAAUAUAGGUACAUGUCAAAAAAGUGCUGCUAGCUAAAAUUACCGACACUUUUGAAAAGUGUUGCUAUAUGUGGGGUCGCUAGGUAUAUAGUGACAGUUAAAGAGUGUCGCUAUAACCUAAAAAAGUGCUGCUAAUUUACCAACACUUAUUUAAGCAUUUAGCAACCGCCGAAACUCUAUCUCGUUGGCUGCGGUGGCGGAGGACGACGACAGGAAAGGCUCUUCGUCUAGAAUUUCAGUGAAUUGAGUGAAGAGAGAAGAAAAGAUGGUAAUUGAUUUUUCUUUUUUUAUUCUUUUCUGUUUGUAAUCGGGCCAAAUGGACUGGGUGUGGUGGGUUGAGUAGAGUAAUCUUUUAUUUUUGGUUGGAUUGGGCUUUAUAUUUAGGUAUUAGUAGAUGUUUUUUUAAGUUUUAGCAUAAAUGGGACACUUACUCAAAAGUGUCCUAAACAUGUGUCCCUAUAACCUAAUUCUGUUGUAGUGUUCACACCAAUUAAUCUACAAAAUAAAUGGUAUAUUUAUAUUUGUAACU